UAAGGGCGCACGGUGGAUGCCUUGGCACUAGAAGCCGAUGAAGGACGUUACUAACGACGAUAUGCUUUGGGGAGCUGUAAGUAAGCUUUGAUCCAGAGAUUUCCGAAUGGGGAAACCCAGCAUGAGUUAUGUCAUGUUAUCGAUAUGUGAAUACAUAGCAUAUCAGAAGGCACACCCGGAGAACUGAAACAUCUUAGUACCCGGAGGAAGAGAAAGAAAAUUCGAUUCCCUUAGUAGCGGCGAGCGAAACGGGAAGAGCCCAAACCAACAAGCUUGCUUGUUGGGGUUGUAGGACACUCUAUACGGAGUUACAAAGGACGACAUUAGACGAAUCAUCUGGAAAGAUGAAUCAAAGAAGGUAAUAAUCCUGUAGUCGAAAAUGUUGUCUCUCUUGAGU
This 397-nucleotide ribosomal RNA is filed under the name Staphylococcus aureus. RNAcentral's name for it is "partial 23S ribosomal RNA". It matches the Rfam family "Bacterial large subunit ribosomal RNA", at positions 12 to 402 of the family's 2925-position model. The record is from RNAcentral. Lineage: Bacteria; Bacillati; Bacillota; Bacilli; Caryophanales; Staphylococcaceae.